CUACGGGAGGCAGCAGUGGGGAAUUUUGGACAAUGGGCGCAAGCCUGAUCCAGCCAUGCCGCGUGCAGGAUGAAGGCCUUCGGGUUGUAAACUGCUUUUGUACGGAACGAAAAGACUCCUUCUAAUAAAGGGGGUCCAUGACGGUACCGUAAGAAUAAGCACCGGCUAACUACGUGCCAGCAGCCGCGGUAAUACGUAGGGUGCAAGCGUUAAUCGGAAUUACUGGGCGUAAAGCGUGCGCAGGCGGUUAUAUAAGACAGAUGUGAAAUCCCCGGGCUCAACCUGGGAACUGCAUUUGUGACUGUAUAGCUAGAGUACGGCAGAGGGGGAUGGAAUUCCGCGUGUAGCAGUGAAAUGCGUAGAUAUGCGGAGGAACACCGAUGGCGAAGGCAAUCCCCUGGGCCUGUACUGACGCUCAUGCACGAAAGCGUGGGGAGCAAACAGGAUUAGAUACCCUGGUAGUCCACGCCCUAAACGAUGUCAACUGGUUGUUGGGAAUUCACUUUCUCAGU
This 512-nucleotide ribosomal RNA is filed under the name uncultured Comamonadaceae bacterium. RNAcentral's name for it is "bacterial SSU rRNA". It matches the Rfam family "Bacterial small subunit ribosomal RNA", at positions 339 to 844 of the family's 1533-position model. The record is from RNAcentral. Lineage: Bacteria; Pseudomonadati; Pseudomonadota; Betaproteobacteria; Burkholderiales; Comamonadaceae.